UGGUGCAUGGCAGAAUGGCACCGUACCAAGGUGCACUGUGCAUAGUGCAUGAUAAAAGUGCAACAUACCAUAAUCCACGGUGCAUAGUGAAUGACAUACCUGCUUGAUACUUAUUUUGGAAUGUGCAAAAAAGAAAAUUGGAUGGUUAAAAUACACGAUAUCAAAGUGCUGUGUGCAUAAAGGAAGUGCACAAUUCCAAUUUGCAUGGUGCAUAGUGCUUGGUGGAAGUGCACCAUAGUAAGAUGUACUGUCCAUAGUGGAAGUUCAAU
This 269-nucleotide long non-coding RNA is filed under the name Linum usitatissimum (flax). RNAcentral describes it as "long non-coding RNA (LUSI_LNC001415)". Lineage: Eukaryota; Viridiplantae; Streptophyta; Magnoliopsida; Malpighiales; Linaceae. The record is from RNAcentral.